RNAcentral lists this ribosomal RNA (602 nucleotides) under Lodderomyces parapsilosis. RNAcentral describes it as "eukaryotic LSU rRNA". It matches the Rfam family "Eukaryotic large subunit ribosomal RNA", at positions 1 to 608 of the family's 3401-position model. Lineage: Eukaryota; Fungi; Ascomycota; Pichiomycetes; Serinales; Debaryomycetaceae. The record is from RNAcentral.
CGACCUCAAAUCAGGUAGGACUACCCGCUGAACUUAAGCAUAUCAAUAAGCGGAGGAAAAGAAACCAACAGGGAUUGCCUUAGUAGCGGCGAGUGAAGCGGCAAAAGCUCAAAUUUGAAAUCUGGCACUUUCAGUGUCCGAGUUGUAAUUUGAAGAAGGUAUCUUUGGGUCUGGCUCUUGUCUAUGUUUCUUGGAACAGAACGUCACAGAGGGUGAGAAUCCCGUGCGAUGAGAUGUCCCAGACCUAUGUAAAGUUCCUUCGAAGAGUCGAGUUGUUUGGGAAUGCAGCUCUAAGUGGGUGGUAAAUUCCAUCUAAAGCUAAAUAUUGGCGAGAGACCGAUAGCGAACAAGUACAGUGAUGGAAAGAUGAAAAGAACUUUGAAAAGAGAGUGAAAAAGUACGUGAAAUUGUUGAAAGGGAAGGGCUUGAGAUCAGACUUGGUAUUUUGUAUGUUACUCUCUCGGGGGUGGCCUCUACAGUUUACCGGGCCAGCAUCAGUUUGAGCGGUAGGAUAAGUGCAAAGAAAUGUGGCACUGCUUCGGUAGUGUGUUAUAGUCUUUGUCGAUACUGCCAGCUUAGACUGAGGACUGCGGCUUCGGCCU